CCUACGGGUGGCAGCAGUAGGGAAUAUUCCACAAUGGGGGAAAGCCUGAUGCAGCGACGCCGCGUGAGUGAAGAAGUAUUUCGGUAUGUAAAGCUCUGUCAGCAGGGAAGAAAAUGACGGUACCUGACUGAGAAGCCACGGCUAACUACGUGCCAGAAGCCGCGGUAAUACGGAGGGGGCAAGCGUUAUCCGGUUUUACUGGGGGUAAAGGUAGCGUAGACGGCCAGACAAAGCAUAAGGGAAAGCCCAGGGCUCAACCCUGGGACUGCUUUUGAAACUGGCGGGCUGGAGUGCAGGAGAGGUAAGCGGAAUUCCAAGUGUAGCGGUGAAAUGCGUAGAUAUUAGGAGGAACACCAGUGGCGAAGGCGGCUUACUGGACUGUAACUGACGUUGAGGCUCGAAAGCGUGGGGAGCAAACAGGAUUAGAUACCCCAGUAGUC
RNAcentral lists this ribosomal RNA (440 nucleotides) under uncultured bacterium. Its description in RNAcentral is "partial 16S ribosomal RNA". It matches the Rfam family "Bacterial small subunit ribosomal RNA", at positions 338 to 795 of the family's 1533-position model. The record is from RNAcentral.